This is an RNA transcript of Lotus japonicus, 2092 nucleotides long. RefSeq lists it as uncharacterized. Lineage: Eukaryota; Viridiplantae; Streptophyta; Magnoliopsida; Fabales; Fabaceae. The record is from RefSeq and is a predicted model, not a curated record. The transcript has 6 exons.
UUUCUGUGAGAUGGAAGUUUGGUUUAUAUAAUUAAGCUAGCAUCGAUCAAGGCUUAACCAAAAUCAAUCACUCUGAACUGAUCUUUGACUUUCUAGCUAGUUAACUGGUUCUGGUCAUUUCCAAAAAGAGUAGAAAGAAAGAUCUCUAUCUUCAUUUGCUUGCUGCCUGCAACAUCUUGGAUUUGGUUUAAGCAUCAAGACUUAAGCAAAUUCCAAAAGGAGUAGAAAGAAAGAUCUCUGCUUAUCUAAAAAAAAAAAAAAAGAAAGAAAGAUCUCCAUCUUGAUUUGGUGCCAGCUGCCUGCAACAUUGAUCUUGGAUUAGAAGAUAGAAGAAACAAAGUCGUUCAUUGACGUCCUAUCUCAAGAUUUGGGUCUUCAUUAUGGAGUCGAAGCCACAUCUAGACGAUGUACGAUAUGCAAAGUUUUGGAGCCUGCAACUUGAUGAUGAUUUUCAAAAUGGUACAUCAAAUUUGACGAUGGAGCAGGAAUCCAAGACUUGUUUUUAUCUACAAGUCGUACGUGAAUAUGUGGAGCUGAGUUUCAAGUCAAAGGAAGACUGUACAAUUGAUAAAGAUUCAAUUUGGUCACAUCCAAAUGAAAAAUUUGAUGAAGUUUUGGAGUGGAUAAAAGAAGUGGAUAAAUUCAUGGGUAAGGCCACAAAGGAAAUGUGCGAAAUAAGUCUUGAGACUGAUUCGUAUUGGUGCAAGAAGAUAAUAUCAAGAAUAAGAGAUCUACGUGCCAAACGUGGCCCCAAUUUUACUUUCCAAAUAGUAAGCUCAUCUGAGGUGAUAACACCACUUUCCUCACGUGAAAAGCUCUUCUGUGAACUAAUGUUGCUGGGUCACAUACGUUUAGCUGUGGUGCAUGCUCUUGAAAUAUCAAAGGAUGAUGAUGAUAAAUUUAAUGAAUAUCUUCAGGAGUGGAAAGAUGAAGUGGAUGAUUUCUUGUCUGGGUUGAACGAGCAUUUUAAAGUUGAAUUUGAUCCUGAGACUAAUUCUGGUUGGUACAGUAAGAAGAUAGCAAAAGCAAGGACCUUAAUUGCCAAAUGUGAACCAGCACUUUCUCUCCAAUUUCAAGAUGUGGGAUCUGCUUCCUCAAUGAAUAUUAUGUUUCAUGAAAAACUCUGCUAUGAAAUAAGGUUGUUGAUUAAUUUGAAAUUUGUUGACAUAAAGGCUGCUCGUGAUAUGCCAAUCAAUGAUCAUGAUCUACAAAUCCUUUUCAAGAAAAGACUUCAGGAGUAGAUAAAUGAAGUGAAUAAAUUCUUAACAGAGAUCAGCCUGCAAUUUGGAGAAAAGAAUCUUGACAAGAGUUCCAAUUGGUACCAAAACAAGAUAGCAGAAUCAAGGACGUUAAUUGCCAAACGUUAUUCAGCAUUUCCCCUCCGCUGUGAAGAUGUGGGAUAUACAAAGAAGCAAUAUCAUAUUUUUCUCAGUUUUGAAGGAAAAGAUACUCAAUGUCUUCAUGGACGAUCAAGGGUUAGAGAGAGAGGGCUCUAUUUCACAAGUUCUAAUCGGGGCAAUUGAAAACUCACAACUUUCAAUUAUUAUUUUCUCGAAAAACUUUGCAAAUUCUACCGGGUGUUUGGAUGAAGUUGUUAAGAUUCUUGAGUGUAAAAAGGAGAAAAAUCAGCUAGUUUGGCCUGUCUUUUAUAAAGUGGAGCCCUCCGACGUGAGGUAUCAAAAUAAAAAUUAUAGAGAGGCUAUGGCCAAACAUGAAACAAGAUUUGGAAAAGAGAUGGUGAAGAACUGGAGAUCAGCUUUGCACGAAGUCAGUGGCUUCAAUGCUUUCCCAUACAAGAAAGACAGUGGGUAUGAAAGUGAUUUUAUUCAAAGUAUCGUAAAAGCUGCCACCAAAAUUAGAGAUGGUUCGUAAGCAUGGAUAUGGUGACAAUAAGAAAGACUGCAUCUUCAGAGUGUUUGCUCUCAACUGUUGGUGUUGGAUUGAAGUUGUUUUGUAUUGAUUCACUGAGAGGGGCAGAGUUUCCUGAGCGUAAUGGAGGUGCGUCUGGUCUGGCUCAAUUCCUGGCCCUGCCACGAUUGAAAACCCGGUCUGCGAUUAAUCUCGUGCUUCCACCGAUACCUCGCUUCCCCUG